GAAACUGCAGAUUUUAGGUUUCCUGUGCCAGGCCAGUUAGAUGCUCCAUGAUGUAUAUGUUUCAGAACACAUCUAAAAGAUAAUGAACAACUUCACAGGCCUGUUUUGGUUUGGCAUUUACAUUAAAAAAAGAAUCUUCUUUCUUGCUAGCAUCUUUCAUACAAAGAAAUAGAGAGAUGCAACAAUGUCAAAAGUAGGAUUGAAGUUGGGUAGAUUAAGCAGAAAUACACCUUUAGAUGUCAUGUAAUCAUUGAAUUUCAUUUAGGC
Molecule: long non-coding RNA, 267 nt
Filed under: Elaeis guineensis (African oil palm)
Lineage: Eukaryota; Viridiplantae; Streptophyta; Magnoliopsida; Arecales; Arecaceae
Description: long non-coding RNA (EGUI_LNC072150)
Source: RNAcentral